AACGAACGCUGGCGGCAGGCCUAACACAUGCAAGUCGAACGGGACCUUCGGGUCUAGUGGCGGACGGGUGAGUAACGCGGGGGAACGUGCCCUUUGGUUCGGAAUAGCCCCGGGAAACUGGGAGUAAUACCGGAUAAGCCCUACGGGGGAAAGAUUUAUCGCCAAAGGAUCGGCCCGCGUUGGAUUAGGUAGUUGGGGAGGUAAUGGCUCACCAAGCCGACGAUCCAUAGCUGGUUUGAGAGGAUGAUCAGCCACACUGGGACUGAGACACGGCCCAGACUCCUACGGGAGGCAGCAGUGGGGAAUCUUAGACAAUGGGGGAAACCCUGAUCUAGCCAUGCCGCGUGAUCGAUGAAGGCCUUAGGGUUGUAAAGAUCUUUCAGUGGGGAAGAUAAUGACUGUACCCACAGAAGAAGCCCCGGCUAACUCCGUGCCAGCCGCCGCAGUAA
RNAcentral lists this ribosomal RNA (449 nucleotides) under uncultured bacterium. Its description in RNAcentral is "partial 16S ribosomal RNA". It matches the Rfam family "Bacterial small subunit ribosomal RNA", at positions 29 to 523 of the family's 1533-position model. The record is from RNAcentral.